CGGACUGGAGUCUGCAACCCGACUCCACGAAGUUGGAUUCGCUAGUAAUCGCGCAUCAGCCAUGGCGCGGUGAAUACGUUCCCGGGCCUUGUACACACCGCCCGUCAAGCCAUGGGAGCCGGGGGCGCCUGAAGUCCGGGACCGCGAGGACCGGCCUAGGGCGAAACUGGUAACUGGGGCUAAGUCGUAACAAGGUACC
Molecule: ribosomal RNA, 199 nt
Filed under: uncultured bacterium
Lineage: Bacteria
Description: partial 16S ribosomal RNA
Rfam family: Bacterial small subunit ribosomal RNA
Source: RNAcentral